AGUGAACGCUGGCGGUAGGCCUAACACAUGCAAGUCGAACGGCAGCACAGUAAGAGCUUGCUCUUACGGGUGGCGAGUGGCGGACGGGUGAGGAAUACAUCGGAAUCUACUUUUUCGUGGGGGAUAACGUAGGGAAACUUACACUAAUACCGCAUACGACCUACGGGUGAAAGCAGGGGAUCUUCGGACCUUGCGCGAUUGAAUGAGCCGAUGUCGGAUUAGCUAGUUGGCGGGGUAAAGGCCCACCAAGGCGACGAUCCGUAGCUGGUCUGAGAGGAUGAUCAGCCACACUGGAACUGAGACACGGUCCAGACUCCUACGGGAGGCAGCAGUGGGGAAUAUUGGACAAUGGGCGCAAGCCUGAUCCAGCCAUACCGCGUGGGUGAAGAAGGCCUUCGGGUUGUAAAGCCCUUUUGUUGGGAAAGAAAAGCAGCAGGUUAAUACCCCGCUGUUCUGACGGUACCCAAAGAAUAAGCAUCGGCUAACUUCGUG
Molecule: ribosomal RNA, 492 nt
Filed under: uncultured bacterium
Lineage: Bacteria
Description: partial 16S ribosomal RNA
Rfam family: Bacterial small subunit ribosomal RNA
Source: RNAcentral